RNAcentral lists this ribosomal RNA (253 nucleotides) under uncultured bacterium. RNAcentral describes it as "partial 16S ribosomal RNA". It matches the Rfam family "Bacterial small subunit ribosomal RNA", at positions 524 to 776 of the family's 1533-position model. RNAcentral also lists the same sequence under 1 other name. The record is from RNAcentral.
GACAGAGGGUGCGAACGUUGUUCGGAAUUACUGGGCGUAAAGAGCGUGUAGGCGGCUCUGCAAGUCGGGCGUGAAAUCCCACGGCUCAACCGUGGAAGUGCACUCGAAACUGCAGAGCUAGAGUCCUGGAGAGGAAGGUGGAAUGCUUGGUGUAGAGGUGAAAUUCGUAGAUAUCAAGCGGAACACCGGUGGCGAAGGCGGCCUUCUGGACAGUGACUGACGCUUAAGCGCGAAAGCGUGGGGAGCAAACAGG